Molecule: ribosomal RNA, 253 nt
Filed under: uncultured bacterium
Lineage: Bacteria
Description: partial 16S ribosomal RNA
Rfam family: Bacterial small subunit ribosomal RNA
Source: RNAcentral
UACGUAGGGUGCGAGCGUUAAUCGGAAUUACUAGGCGUAAAGCGUGCGCAGGCGGCGCCGCAAGUCGAGUGUGAAAGCCCCGGGCUUAACCUGGGAACUGCGCUUGAAACUACGGAACUCGAGUGUGGCAGAGGAAGGUGGAAUUCCACGUGUAGCGGUGAAAUGCGUAGAGAUGUGGAGGAACACCGAUGGCGAAGGCAGCCUUCUGGGCCAACACUGACGCUCAUGCACGAAAGCGUGGGGAGCAAACAGG